Molecule: ribosomal RNA, 818 nt
Filed under: Pertusaria pupillaris
Lineage: Eukaryota; Fungi; Ascomycota; Lecanoromycetes; Pertusariales; Pertusariaceae
Description: SSU rRNA
Rfam family: Bacterial small subunit ribosomal RNA
Source: RNAcentral
AAUAGCCUAACGGCUGAACCAGCAACUUGGAGGAAUGUAUAUCGACUCUGUCGAAUAAAAUUCUGGUUAAGUUAUGAUAAUGACAUUUCUUAACUAUAUGUCUUGACCAAAUCACGUGCCAGCAGUCGCGGUAAUACGUGGAAGACAAGUGUUAUUCAUCUUUAACAGGUUUAAAGGGUACCUAGACGGCAAAUCAAGCCCCAAAAGGGUACUAAUUUACUAGAGUUUAAUAAGAGAGGGGGAGUACUAAUGAGUGUAGAGAUGAAAUGCUAUGAUACCAUUAGGGACAGACAAAGGCGAAGGCGACCUUUUACAAAAAACUGACGUUGAGGGACGAAGGCUUUAUUCAUUAACAGGAUUAGAUACCCAAGUAGUUAAAGCAGACAAUGAUGAAUGUCAUAGAUUAAUAAUCUUAAUCUAUAAAUGAAAGUGUAAGCAUUCCACCUCAUGAGUAAUGUGGCAACGCAGAAACUGAAAUCAUUAGACCGUUUCUGAAACCAGUAGUGAAGUAUGUUGUUUAAUUAGAUGAUCCGCAAAAGACCUCACCACAAUUUGUAUAUUAUAUUAUUAUAUAAUACAAGCGUUGCACGGCUGUCUUCAGUUAAUGUCGUGAGAUUAGGUUAGUUCCAUUAAAUUAACGUAAACCCUUUCUUUAUUUAUAUUAUAAAGUAGAUCGCCGAUAUAUUGGAUAUGAUAAAAGGGACUAAGACAAGUCAUCAUGGCCUGAAUAUUGUGGGCGAUAGACGUGCCACAUAAUCGGAGACAAAGGGAUGCAAAAUUGUGAAAUUGAGCUAAUCCCAAAAAAUCCGACAAAAUAU